This 742-nucleotide ribosomal RNA is filed under the name Teratosphaeria stellenboschiana. RNAcentral describes it as "eukaryotic LSU rRNA". It matches the Rfam family "Eukaryotic large subunit ribosomal RNA", at positions 95 to 869 of the family's 3401-position model. Lineage: Eukaryota; Fungi; Ascomycota; Dothideomycetes; Mycosphaerellales; Teratosphaeriaceae. The record is from RNAcentral.
GAAGCGGCAACAGCUCAAAUUUGAAAUCUGGCGCAAGCCCGAGUUGUAAUUUGUAGAGGAUGCUUCAGGGCAGCGGCCGGUCUAAGUUCCUUGGAACAGGACGUCAUAGAGGGUGAGAAUCCCGUAUGCGACCGGUUGGCACCCGUCACGUAGCUCCUUCGACGAGUCGAGUUGUUUGGGAAUGCAGCUCUAAAUGGGAGGUAAAUUUCUUCUAAAGCUAAAUACCGGCCAGAGACCGAUAGCGCACAAGUAGAGUGAUCGAAAGAUGAAAAGCACUUUGGAAAGAGAGUUAAAAAGCACGUGAAAUUGUUGAAAGGGAAGCGCAUGCAACCAGACUUGUCGGCGGUGUUCCGCCGGUCUUCUGACCGGUCUACUCGCCGCCGGCAGGCCAGCAUCAUCUGGGCGCGCCGGACAAAGGCGCGGGGAAUGUGGCUCCUCGGAGUGUUAUAGCCCCGCGCACAAUACGGCGCCGCUCGGGUGAGGUCCGCGCUUCGGCUAGGAUGCUGGCGUAAUGGUUGUCUGCGGCCCGUCUUGAAACACGGACCAAGGAGUCUAACAUCUAUGCGAGUGUUCGGGUGUCAAACCCCUACGCGGAAUGAAAGUGAACGGAGGUGGGAAGCGCAAGCUGCACCAUCGACCGAUCCUGAUGUCUUCGGAUGGAUUUGAGUAAGAGCAUAGCUGUUGGGACCCGAAAGAUGGUGAACUAUGCCUGAAUAGGGUGAAGCCAGAGGAAACUCUGGUG